GACGAACGCUGGCGGCGUGCUUAACACAUGCAAGUCGAACGGAAAGGCCCUGCUUUUGUGGGGUGCUCGAGUGGCGAACUGGUUAGUAACACGUGAGUAACCUGCCCUUGACUUUGGGAUAACUUCAGGAAACUUGGGCUACUACCGGAUAGGAGCUCCUGCUGCAUGGUGUGGGUUGGAAAGUUUCGGCGGGUGGGGCUGGACUCGCGUCUUAUCAGCUUGUUGGUGGGGUAGUGGCUUACCAAGGCUUUGACGGGUAGCCGGCCUGAGAGGGUGACCGGCCACAUAGGGACUGAGAUACGGCCCAGACUCCUACGGGAGGCAGCAGUGGGGAAUAGUGCACAAUGGGCGGAAGCCGGAUGCAGCAACGCCGCGUGCGGGAUGACGGCCUUCGGGUUGUAAACCGCUUUCGCCUGUGACGAAGCGUGAGUGACGGUAAUGGGGAAAGAAGCACCGGCUAACUACGU
This 467-nucleotide ribosomal RNA is filed under the name uncultured bacterium. RNAcentral describes it as "partial 16S ribosomal RNA". It matches the Rfam family "Bacterial small subunit ribosomal RNA", at positions 28 to 506 of the family's 1533-position model. The record is from RNAcentral.